RNAcentral lists this ribosomal RNA (465 nucleotides) under uncultured bacterium. RNAcentral describes it as "partial 16S ribosomal RNA". It matches the Rfam family "Bacterial small subunit ribosomal RNA", at positions 28 to 507 of the family's 1533-position model. The record is from RNAcentral.
GACGAACGCUGGCGGCGUGCUUAACACAUGCAAGUCGAACGGAAAGGCCCUGCUUGCAGGGUACUCGAGUGGCGAACGGGUGAGUAACGCGUGGGUGAUCUGCCCUGCACUUCGGGAUAAGCCUGGGAAACUGGGUCUAAUACCGGAUAGGAGCCAUUUUUAGUGUGAUGGUUGGAAAGUUUUUUCGGUGUAGGAUGAGCUCGCGGCCUAUCAGCUUGUUGGUGGGGUAAUGGCCUACCAAGGCGGCGACGGGUAGCCGGCCUGAGAGGGUGGACGGCCACAUUGGGACUGAGAUACGGCCCAGACUCCUACGGGAGGCAGCAGUGGGGAAUAUUGCACAAUGGGCGCAAGCCUGAUGCAGCGACGCCGCGUGGGGGAUGACGGCCUUCGGGUUGUAAACUCCUUUCGCUAGGGACGAAGCUUUUUGUGACGGUACCUAGAGAAGAAGCACCGGCUAACUACGUG